GGCUAAAAUAGCUCAGUUGGUGGAGCAUGAGGCUCUUAAUCUCAGGGUCAUGGAUUCAAGCCGCACAUUGGGCA
Non-coding RNA from Podarcis lilfordi (Lilford's wall lizard), 74 nucleotides. The record is from the annotation of a GenBank genome assembly. NCBI's taxonomy places the organism in Eukaryota, Metazoa, Chordata, Lepidosauria, Squamata, Lacertidae.